RNAcentral lists this transfer RNA (72 nucleotides) under Paludibacteraceae bacterium. RNAcentral describes it as "tRNA-Gln". It matches the Rfam family "tRNA". From Rfam's summary of the family: Transfer RNA (tRNA) molecules are approximately 80 nucleotides in length. Their secondary structure includes four short double-helical elements and three loops (D, anti-codon, and T loops). Lineage: Bacteria; Pseudomonadati; Bacteroidota; Bacteroidia; Bacteroidales; Paludibacteraceae. The record is from RNAcentral.
GCCCUAUAAUUUAAUCGGUUAGAAUUCCAGAUUUUGAUUCUGGCAGUAUGUGUUCGAGCCACAUUGGGGCCA